CGCCCGCCGCGCGCGGCGGGCGGGGCGGGGUGGGGAAUAUUGCACAAUGGGCGGAAGCCUGAUGCAGCAACGCCGCGUGCGGGAUGACGGCCUUCGGGUUGUAAACCGCUUUCGCCUGUGACGAAGCGUGAGUGACGGUAAUGGGUAAAGAAGCACCGGCUAACUACGUG
Molecule: ribosomal RNA, 170 nt
Filed under: uncultured Propionibacterium sp.
Lineage: Bacteria; Bacillati; Actinomycetota; Actinomycetes; Propionibacteriales; Propionibacteriaceae
Description: partial 16S ribosomal RNA
Rfam family: Bacterial small subunit ribosomal RNA
Source: RNAcentral